AUUGCUAUAAAUCGUUAAAGAGUUCCCUCGACUAACUUUUGUCUCCAUCAUCAGACUGUAAUGGCACUUAUAACUCAUACAGGUGCAAAGUUCUCAUCUAUAGAAACGAAUUAAGUUCAAAAAGCAGGUAAUUGCUAUAAUUUCUUAAAGAGUUCCCUCGACUAUCUUUCGUCUCCAUCAUCAGACUUUAAUGGCACUUGUAACUCAUAUAGGUGCAAAGUUCUCAUCAAUAGAAACGAAUUAAGUUCAAACAGCAGGUAAUUGCUAUAAGUCGUUGAAGAGUACCCCCGACUAUCUUUCGUCUCCAUCAUCAGACUGAAAUGGCACUUAUAACUCAUAUAUAUGCAAAGUUCUCAUCAAUAGAAACGAAUUAAGUUCAAACAGCAGGUAAUUGCUAUAAGUCGUUGAAGAGUACCCUCGACUAUCUUUCGUCUCCAUCAUCAGACUGAAAUGGCACUUAUAACUCAUAUAUAUAUGCAAAGUUCUCUUCAAUAGAAACGAAUUAAGUUCAAACAGCAGGUAAUUGCUAUAAAUCGUUAAAGAGUUCCCUCGACUAACUUUUGUCUCCAUUAUCAGACUGUAAUGGCACUUAUAACUCAUACAGGUGCAAAGUUCUCAUCAAUAGAAACGAAUUAAGUUCAAAAAGCAGGUAAUUGCUAUAAAUUGUUGAAGAGUUCCCUCGACUAUCUCUCUUCUCCAUCAUCAGAUCGACUCCAGACCUUUAUUAAAUAGUAGUGCUUUAUAGUACCUAAUGAAAACAUGAUUAAAUUUACUAGUCAUCCUUACGAUUUUUGAAAGUUUCCCUCAAUUUCUCUGGGAUCCCAUCAUCAGAUCCUGGUUUCCUUAUCAUGGUACCAAACUAUGAAUAUCUCCUUUCCAAAAAAAAAAAAAGAAUUAUCAAAAUCGGUUCAUAAACGAAGAAGUUAUCUCCGAACAUACAUAAAAAAAAUAUAUAUAUAUACGGUCGAAUUGAGUAACCUCCUUCUUUUUUUGA
This 994-nucleotide unclassified non-coding RNA is filed under the name Melitaea cinxia (Glanville fritillary). Its description in RNAcentral is "misc RNA ENSMCXG00005011999.1". Lineage: Eukaryota; Metazoa; Arthropoda; Insecta; Lepidoptera; Nymphalidae. The record is from RNAcentral.